UCAUGCUGAAGUUUUCUGGAGAUUAUCACAUGUAAAAUUGAUGCAGCCAAACUAAAGAUACGCUCCAUUGGUUCUUUCUAACGUCCCUGUUAAAGAAGCAGUAAAAAAUAGAAUAAUAAGAGAUGGAAAAUGUCAAAUUCACUUGGUCUACAACAAAGAAACCCUUUUAUUUUAUUGCUGUUCUUCAUAUUCAAGUUCACAGACCAGUCCUUCAACAAUGAGAAAAUGUUUAAAUAAAA
Molecule: long non-coding RNA, 239 nt
Filed under: Mytilus galloprovincialis (Mediterranean mussel)
Lineage: Eukaryota; Metazoa; Mollusca; Bivalvia; Mytilida; Mytilidae
Source: RNAcentral